This is a small nuclear RNA of Chiloscyllium plagiosum (whitespotted bambooshark), 102 nucleotides long. Lineage: Eukaryota; Metazoa; Chordata; Chondrichthyes; Orectolobiformes; Hemiscylliidae. The record is from RefSeq and is a predicted model, not a curated record.
GUUGGCUGUUAACCAAAAUAUACUAAAAUUGAAACGAUAGAGAAGAUUAGCAUGGCCCCUGUCAAGGAUGACACACAAAUUUAUGAAGCAUUCCAUAUUUUA